GACGAACGCUGGCGGCGUGCUUAACACAUGCAAGUCGAACGGAAAGGCCCCCUUGUGGGGUACUCGAGUGGCGAACGGGUGAGUAACGCGUGAGUAACCUACCCUUGACUUUGGGAUAACUUCAGGAAACUGGGGCUAAUACCGGAUAGGAGCUCCUGCUGCAUGGUGGGGGUUGGAAAGUUUCGGCGGUUGGGGAUGGACUCGCGGCUUAUCAGCUUGUUGGUGGGGUAGUGGCUCACCAAGGCUUUGACGGGUAGCCGGCCUGAGAGGGUGACCGGCCACAUUGGGACUGAGAUACGGCCCAGACUCCUACGGGAGGCAGCAGUGGGGAAUAUUGCACAAUGGGCGGAAGCCUGAUGCAGCAACGCCGCGUGCGGGAUGACGGCCUUCGGGUUGUAAACCGCUUUCGCCUGUGACGAAGCGUGAGUGACGGUAAUGGGUAAAGAAGCACCGGCUAACUACG
RNAcentral lists this ribosomal RNA (463 nucleotides) under uncultured bacterium. Its description in RNAcentral is "partial 16S ribosomal RNA". It matches the Rfam family "Bacterial small subunit ribosomal RNA", at positions 28 to 505 of the family's 1533-position model. The record is from RNAcentral.